AUUGAACGCUGGCGGCAGGCCUAACACAUGCAAGUCGAACGAGUGGCGGACGGGUGAGUAAUGUCUGGGAAACUGCCUGAUGGAGGGGGAUAACUACUGGAAAAGGUAGCUAAUAACGCAUACCAUCGGAUGUGCCCAGAUGGGAUUAGCUAGUAGGUGGGGUAAAGGCUCACCUAGGCGACGAUCCCUCGCUGGUCUGAGCGGAUGACCAGCCACACUGGAACUGAGCCACGGUCAAGACUCCUACGGGAGGAAGCAGUGGGGAAUAUUGCACAAUGGGCGCAAGCCGGAUGAAGCCAUGCCGCGUGGAUGAAGAAGGCCUUCGGGUUUUAAAGUACUUUCAGCGGGGAGGCGUUACCCGCAGAAGAAGCACCGGCUAACUCCGUGCCAGCAGCCGCGGUAAUAC
This 406-nucleotide ribosomal RNA is filed under the name uncultured bacterium. Its description in RNAcentral is "partial 16S ribosomal RNA". It matches the Rfam family "Bacterial small subunit ribosomal RNA", at positions 30 to 526 of the family's 1533-position model. The record is from RNAcentral.